Molecule: RNA transcript, 3907 nt
Organism: Hylaeus volcanicus
Lineage: Eukaryota; Metazoa; Arthropoda; Insecta; Hymenoptera; Colletidae
Gene name: prominin-like protein
Exons: 15
Source: RefSeq, a predicted model, not a curated record
AUGGAAAUAAGCUAGUAAUAAGAAUGUUCACCGUUGUAGAUGGAAAGCCAGUGUUUAAAUAUACAUUGACCCAGUGGCAGACCAUCGUGGUACAUUAUGGUGGACUGGCCGGUCUAGCUCUCAUUGGGCUCCUUCUGGCAGCGAUUUUACCCUGCGUGGGGUUGUUUUUCUGCUGCUGCAGAUGCGCUGGUCAUUGCGGUGCUAGGAGUCAACCAUUCGACAAGAAGCACGAUCACUGCAGAAAGGUGAUAAUCAGCAUGGUGCUCAUAGGGGUUGCUACUAUUAUAUUGUUUGGUGUCGUCUGCGCGUUUGUCACGAACGAGUACAUGCAGGAUGGUACGAAAGAGCUGCCCAAUAAUCUCAAAACCAACCUGAACGAUGUAAAACUGUACUUGAACACUACGAAGGAACAGAUCAACAAAAUUCUGAAAACCAAUUUUGACGAGUUGGAGAUCAACCUGAACAACAUCCUCCAAGCCAGCGGGAGAAUAGUCACAGAACAGCUCGCCGAGUACUCCCACGCAGUCUCGCUGACUAAUCUCAGUGACAUCGUAGCUGGUUUGGAGUCUAUCAAAGAGGACCUGAAUACCAUGCAGACCAUCACGCGGGAUCUACGGACCAAUGCUAGUCAUUUAGACAACGCUGUACGAGGUGUUAAAAACAAUCUCCUCCACACGCUCGCGGCGUGCAAGACCCAGAAUUGCAAGCAGGUCCUGCACGAUUACAAAGUGAACCAGAUGUCGGUUAAGAUAGACUUCGACAAGUACAUGGACCGAUACUUCCCGAAGUUGCCAGAUGUCACCUCUGCCUUGUACAAUAUCACCAUGUUGAUGAGGGGCAACAUCGUGUCAGAAGUCAGCCAGGGUAAGGAGUCAUUUCUGAAAAUACAGAAAGACAUUCAGUACGCGGUGAAUCAGACCAUUCCCACGGUCAGCGCAAGCAUCAGAAACGUUGGAGGCUUCUCAGCUGCUCUUGCAAACAACAUAACAGCUCUCCUCGAUAGGAUAUAUGUUGACGUAGACAGGGUUUACAUCCGGCAUGUGGAUAUUGCUCGAACAAACAUUGAUCGGUACUCGCCAUACAGGUACUACCUGGGUCUAGGUAUAUCUGGAGUUGUGUUGACCGUUCUGAUGUGUUUGACUUUUGGCCUAUUUUGUGGAAUUUGUGGAAAACGGCCCGACGGUUAUGGUGACGAUUGCUGCAACAAAGGAUCCGGAGCACGAUUUUUGAUGAUGGCUGUUUGGAUCAUUUUUCUUCUGACGAGCGUCCUAAUGGUGAUCACCGUGGUGCACAUGGUCACUGGUGUCCUGAUGCAACGUGCAGUCUGCGAACCUUUAAAGAAUCCCAACGACAACAGAAUGUUCGCUCUGGUCGAUGAAAUCGUUCAGGUCAAGAAAGUACUGUACCCCAUCUCCGACGUGAACAUGAGCUACAUUGUUACACAGUGCCACCUGAACGAGUCGCUGUACACUGUACUGAAUCUGGAGCACCGCUACGAUGUGAAUGCACUACGGGAUUACGCCGGGCGCUACGACAUCAACAACACUAUCCAGCAUCUGCGUCGCAAAAUUAAUCUGUCUCCAGACGUGGUGAUUCUCACGGGAAGUGCCAAGUUGAAGCUCAACGAUCUCGCGCAGAGCGGGCUCAGCGACAUCAAGUUCUAUCAGUACGCCGAGAUCCUCGCCGAGAACAUCACGAACAUCAAUUUGGAGCAUUUGGCAAAACAACUGCGGGAAGUAGCCGCCAAGUUGCCCGAAGACCAGGAGGUUAUUCGCCUUAGCCUGGAGAAGAACGCGAACGAUCUGGAGCAGUAUCAUAGAGACCUGGUGAUACCGAUGGCGACACUUAGCGAACAAUUGAGCGAGAAAGCGUUGACGCUUCAGGAGAAUAUUAAUUUCAAUCAUAGCUCGAUGGCGGAAGCCAUUCACGACCUCGUCGAAGAAGUUACAAAGGCGCAAACGUUUCUGAACAAAGACGGACCAGAAUAUGUCCAACAUCUAGCAACCAGGUUCGGAAACGCUUUUCUUCGCCAAAUUGAUGACUACCUCGAUUACGUCAGCGUAAGUGCUUUGAAAGAUGUUGGAAGAUGUGCUCCUGUUUCAAACGCUUACAACGCUACUCUGGUCGCCGGUUGCAAUAAGAUUCUGGAUCCAUUUAAUGGUUUCUGGGUGAGUGUCGGGUGGUGCUUAAUCCUCUUCAUUCCAACCAUAGUGCUCUGCGUGAAACUGAGCGCGCUGUAUCAGAAAUCGGACCCGUACCCAGGACCCCUAGUCGAAGCUGAAUAUUUGUAUGACGCGUACGCAGACAGGGAUAACAUACCCCUUGCUCAUGUUCAUGACAAGAAAUACGUAUCUCAAAGCAGACAUCAUCCAUCGGCAUAUGUCGAGAGCUAUGACGGCCCUGCGGUCGGAUACGAGCGGGAAAGGAUCUCUGACGCGCAUCAAAGCACGUCCCACCAUGACUCCAGAUACUCUGAUUUGGCGCCGAAGUGAGUGGGAACCUUGCGGGGGGGCAACUUCCCGCGUCUCUCGAUACGCCUCUGCACGUAAGUCGCAAGACAGAUUGUUAUCAAAUACGUCUUCGUUUUUAUUAGUUCCUAUUUCUUUCUUUUCUUUCUUUUUUUUUUUUUAAAUUCAUUAACUUACCUUUUUUUUUGUUCAAUUUCUUUGCGUCGCAGGCAAAAUAGCUUUGCUAGAGCUUUUACGAGUCGGUUACUACAAGCUGGAAGAAAUUCGCGUGGCAUCAACAGUUACCCUACACGCCAUCGCAAAUACGAAUUGUGUUAGACGAUAUAAGACCUGAAUAGAGCAUGUUUUCGAGUUUCGAGUCAUCGUUUUAUCAAAGGAAGUCACAGAUACAAAAUUAACUUCGUUUUUGCUUCGGCAGCUUCGUCAUUUGUUUGUUCGCUAAGGCAUACAUGCUGUGGCAAAGACACUACGUUCGAUGUUGACGACUUUUAUCUUGUACUCUUUUUUCUUUGUGUUCGUACUUUUUUUUUUCUCGUUCGAUACGUCCGACGAAGGAUAGAGUAUAAGUUGUACAAAGGAAAAUGUAUUUUGUGAUUUGUUAACGCGAUAGUGUUGGUUGCAGAAAUUGGGACUUCCCUAAUGGUGGUCCUCCUAGGUACCAGCCGGCUGCCGUGGCUCCUCCGCCGCUGAGCACAGAAUACGAACGACCACCUCCUUACUAUUAUCCUGGGCCAGGGGACAGAAAUUAGGAAACAAGUGCCGUGGCAUGCACAAAGGUAGCGCUGAGUAGCGUAGCUACUCAUAGUCUCACCCGCAGUUACAGAAGGACGCUCAAAAAGAAAGAGAAAUUCAGAUGCAAACGGGACUACGUUUAAUCGCAGCGUUCCUGAUGGGCGUGCCACGGACCGUGCAAACGGCAAAAUCAAUUAAAGACCAAGUUUGAUACAGACUGAGGUAGACUAAAUGGAACCCUUCGGCGAGCGCGAGUAAUGUGAUCUACGUGUGCGAUUCGUUUAACUUUAGUAUUAUUUAAAAACCAAGCGUUACAACGAGAGAAACGUUCACGUUGCGGGAACAGUUUCAAUCGUGCUGUCACCUUUUCUUCGGUUUCCCCUCCUAAUUGUUUAUUGUUCAUUAUUUUUUUUUUAUUAUUAUUAUUUUUUUUUAUUACAAGACGAUCUGUAAUGUAGCGAUGAUUUUCAUCGUUUGUGCUAUAUUAAUUGAUUUCUUCACAUGACUGAUCGUUUAUCGCCCUUUUCUUCGACAUUUAAUCUUUCUUCUGUUAAUUGCCAUUGCGACCAAGUGUUCUAUCCUUGAUCCACGAUACGUCUUCAAGCUUUUGCGUGUAUUACUCGUUACAAACAUUGACUGGCAACUGCCGAAGACGUGCCGAAUGUUAUCGUCGUUUAUUUUUAUUAAAACAAAGUGUUUUUUUUAAA